This is an RNA transcript of Oryza sativa Japonica Group (Japanese rice), 2211 nucleotides long. It is a transcript of the gene named non-functional NADPH-dependent codeinone reductase 2-like, with no coding region annotated. NCBI's taxonomy places the organism in Eukaryota, Viridiplantae, Streptophyta, Magnoliopsida, Poales, Poaceae. The record is from RefSeq and is a predicted model, not a curated record.
ACAUUCCACUACUCGAGUCCACAACCAACUUUCGUCCUGACUCUACCAACUCAAUCAUCGUUCGUCUGCAAAAUAAUCCGGCCAUCCGCUGCAUUCUCUUCCAUCGGGCAGGCGGCAGGGCCAUGGCGGUGGUGGUUCCGGAGGCGGUCCUGAGGCACGGCGACGCGAGGCCCAUGCCGGCGGUGGGGAUGGGCGUGGCGGAGUACCCAAGCACGCCGGAGAGGACCAGGGACGCCGUGCUGGCGGCGCUCGAGGCGGGCUUCCGCCACUUCGACACCGCCUCCCUGUACCGCACGGAGGCGCCGCUCGGCGAGGCCAUCGCGGAGGCCACCCGGCGCGGCCUCCUGGCGUCGCGGGAGGAGGCGUUCGUGACCACCAAGCUGUGGUGCACCCAGUGCCACCCUGACCUCGUGCUCCCGUCCCUCCGGGAAAGCCUACGGAACCUGCAAAUGGAGUACGUGGACCUGUACCUGAUCCACUUGCCGAUCAGCGUCAAGCCCGGGCCAAUGGUGUUCCCGGUGAAGAAAGAGGACGUCGUGCCGUUCGACUUCGGUGGCGUGUGGCGGGCAAUGGAGGAGUGCCACCGGCUCGGCCUCGCCAAGGCCAUCGGCGUCAGCAACUUCACCACCAAGCACAUCGACAAGCUGCUUGCAGUAGCAACCAUCCUCCCUGCCGUCAACCAGGUGGAGAUGAAUCCGACCUGGCAGCAGAGGACAGUGAGGGAAUACUGUGACGCUAAGGGCAUUCGUGUGACGGCCUACUCGCCGCUGGGAGGGCAGAAUUGGGGAGGCAGCGCCAAUUAUGUGAUGGAAUCCUCGGUGCUCACGGAGAUCGCCAGGGCCAGAGGCAAGAGCAUCGCACAGGUAUCAUUGAGAUGGAUCUAUGAGCAAGGAGUGACCCCCAUUGCCAAGAGCUACAGGAAGGAGAGGCUUAAAGAAAACCUUGAGAUUUUCGACUGGGAGCUGACCGAUGAGGACCGGCUCAAGAUCAGCCAGAUCCCACAGAGAAAGAGGGUUACGGCUGCAAGCUUGUUCUCUCCAGAUGGGGAGUUCACAUCGGUUGAUCUCCCGGACAUCGAAAUUGUGGAGGAAUAGGUGGGCUUCCGCCACUUCGACACCGCGGCGCUGUACGGCACGGAGGCGCCGCUCGGCGAGGCCAUCGCGGAGGCGACCCGCCGCGGCCUCGUCGCCUCCCGGGAGGAGGUGUUCGUGACCACCAAGCUGUGGUGCACCCAGUGCCACCCGGGCCUCGUGCUCCCGUCCCUCCGCGAAAGCCUCCGGAACCUGCAGAUGGAGUACGUCGACCUGUACCUGGUCCACUGGCCGAUCAGCGUCAAGCCCGGGCCACCGAUGUUACCGGUGAAGAGAGAGGACGCCGUGCCGUUCGACUUCGAGGGCGUGUGGCGCGCGAUGGAGGAGUGCCACCGCCUCGGCCUCGCCAAGGCCAUCGGCGUCAGCAACUUCACCACCAAACACCUCGACAAGCUGCUUGCCGUGGCCACCAUCCCCCCUGCCGUCAACCAGGUGGAGAUGAACCCGGUGUGGCAGCAGAGGACGGUGAGGGAGUACUGCGCCGCGAAGGGCAUCCGCGUCGCGGCCUACUCGCCGUUGGGUGGGCAGAACUGGAUAGGCGAAGGCAACGACGUGAUGGAAUCCCCGGUGCUCGCGGACAUCGCCAGGGCCAGAGGCAAGAGCAUCGCACAGGUGUCAUUGAGAUGGAUUCAUGAGCAAGGAGUGACCCCAAUCCCCAAGAGCUACAACAAGGAGAGGCUGAAACAGAAUCUUGAGAUAUUCGACUGGGAGCUGACCAAGGAAGACCGUCUCAAGAUCAGCCAGAUCCCGCAGAAAAAGAUCGUCACGGCUGCACGAAUGUUCUCUCCGGAUGGUGAGUUCGCGUCGGUUGAUCUAUCAGACAUGGAAAUUGUGGAGGAGUAGGUCCAGAUGAAGAUGCCUGGCUGCCCCUGCUGCAGUUUUUUUUUCACGUUUGUAUUUAUGAAAAGAUUCAAUUAGGAUUUGUAUUUGAAUACUAAUUUUAUAUGGCUGCCUUUUUAAUUCGCCUUCGGAUGAUCGGUUAUCAAAUAAAUAAUGGAUGUAUCUUAAACUAUACCAAUAUACCAAUAGUUUUUGUUAAAAAAAUAUGUAAGAUGUAAUUAUAGUAUAACUUGUAUCUAAUAUUUAAGCAUAAAUAGUGUGUAAUUGCAAUUCAACUAAA